RNAcentral lists this long non-coding RNA (239 nucleotides) under Brassica napus (rape). RNAcentral describes it as "long non-coding RNA (BNAP_LNC018578)". Lineage: Eukaryota; Viridiplantae; Streptophyta; Magnoliopsida; Brassicales; Brassicaceae. The record is from RNAcentral.
UGGUGGGAAAAAGUUUUUUACAGUUAUGGCUGAAAAUAUGAUUUCACGUAUUGGGCAAAAAUUCAAUUUGAUUUUUCUAUUUUUGAAGGAAAAUACAAUUUUGUGGUUUACCGAGAAAUGAGAUUUAAUGGUUUUGCUAGAAAAAAAUUUCUUACAUUGUUGGCAGGAAAAUACGAUUUGGACAGAAAAUAUGAUUGUAUGGAUCUGGUGGAAAAUAUGAUUUUAUGGUUUUAACGGAA